Molecule: ribosomal RNA, 274 nt
Filed under: uncultured Borrelia sp.
Lineage: Bacteria; Pseudomonadati; Spirochaetota; Spirochaetia; Spirochaetales; Borreliaceae
Description: partial 16S ribosomal RNA
Rfam family: Bacterial small subunit ribosomal RNA
Source: RNAcentral
UGCUGGCAGUGCGUCUUAAGCAUCCAAGUCAAACGGGAUGUAGUAAUACAUUUAGUGGCGAACGGGUGAGUAACGCGUGGAUGAUCUACCUAUGAGAUGGGGAUAACUACUAGAAAUAGUAGCUAAUACCGAAUAAGGUCAAUUAAUUUGUUAAUUGAUGAAAGGAAGCCUUUAAAGCUUCGCUUGUAGAUGAGUCUGCGUCUUAUUAGUUAGUUGGUGGGGUAAAACCUACCAAGGCGAUGAUAAGUAACCGGCCUGAGAGGGGAACGUCACA